RNAcentral lists this unclassified non-coding RNA (209 nucleotides) under Bombus terrestris (buff-tailed bumblebee). RNAcentral describes it as "misc RNA ENSBTSG00005030481.1". Lineage: Eukaryota; Metazoa; Arthropoda; Insecta; Hymenoptera; Apidae. The record is from RNAcentral.
GUGGGUAAAGACUUCUCUAAAGAGCUGCCAGUUGGUGUGUUGGUUAUGAAUGGAGCCAUUAGGUGUAUUCUCGAUGAUAGUUGAACUGAUUGUUACUAUCACGGGGGAAUGGUCAGAGAAGAGAUCAGCCGAGGAAUUGAUUUGGACGUGUCUUGACGAGAUAUAUUUAGUUAUGAGGAAAUCAAGGAGAUCGGGUAUUUUGUUUGUGG